Molecule: ribosomal RNA, 264 nt
Filed under: Triticum aestivum (bread wheat)
Lineage: Eukaryota; Viridiplantae; Streptophyta; Magnoliopsida; Poales; Poaceae
Description: partial small subunit ribosomal RNA
Source: RNAcentral
AUGGAUCAGACGUGCAGGAGGUGCAGCUCCGCAUGGAUCACGAUGUGGUCGUCGUGGGGGUCUGGAUCAUCAAGUCCUCAGGUGGCGUCGGGGGCAGUGCAAUGCCAGCUGCUGGACAUAGUUCACCCUGGGUUGGUGCUGAUGCACAAGGUGAAUUUCGAUGCCAAGACGGACUAUGACAUGAUCCAGAACUACAGGAUUCUCCUGGAUGUGUUCAACAAGUUGCAGAUAUUCAAGGUACGGGUGGUGAUUCUCCUGGAUUAG